RNAcentral lists this ribosomal RNA (450 nucleotides) under uncultured bacterium. RNAcentral's name for it is "partial 16S ribosomal RNA". It matches the Rfam family "Bacterial small subunit ribosomal RNA", at positions 354 to 796 of the family's 1533-position model. The record is from RNAcentral.
GUGGGGAAUAUUCCGCAAUGGACGAAAGUCUGACGGAGCAACGCCGCGUGAGUGAUGAAGGUUUUCGGACUGUAAAGCUCUGUUGUUUAGGACGAAAGUGCCUGUUGCAAAUAGUUACAGGUAUUGACGGUACUGAACGAGGAAGCCACGGCUAACUACGUGCCAGCAGCCGCGGUAAUACGUAGGUGGCAAGCGUUGUCCGGAAUUAUUGGGCGUAAAGAGCAUGUAGGCGGAGAUUUAAGUCUGUUGUGAAAAUGCGGGGCUCAACCCCGUAUUGCGAUGGAAACUGAAUUUCUUGAGUGCAGGAGAGGAAAGUGGAAUUCCAAGUGUAGCGGUGAAAUGCGUAGAGAUUUGGAAGAACACCAGUGGCGAAGGCGACUUUCUGGACGAUGUCUGACGCUGAGGCGCGAAAGCUAGGGGAGCGAACGGGAUUAGAAACCCCGGUAGUCC